AGUGAACGCUGGCGGUAGGCCUAACACAUGCAAGUCGAACGGCAGCACAGUAAGAGCUUGCUCCUACGGGUGGCGAGUGGCGGACGGGUGAGGCAUACAUCGGAAUCUACUUUUUCGUGGGGGAUAACGUAGGGAAACUUCCGCUAAUACCGCAUACGACCUACGGGUGAAAGCAGGGGAUCUUCGGACUUUGCGCGAUUGAAUGAGCCGAUGUCGGAUUAGCUAGUUGGCGGGGUAAAGGCCCACCAAGGCGACGAUCCGUAGCUGGUCUGAGAGGAUGAUCGGCCACACUGGAACUGAGACACGGUCCAGACUCCUACGGGAGGCAGCAGUGGGGAAUAUUGGACAAUGGGCGCAAGCCUGAUCCAGCCAUACCGCGUGGGUGAAGAAGGUCUUCGGGUUGUAAAGCCCUUUUGUUGGGAAAGAAAAGAAGUAGGUUAAUACCCCGCUGUUCUGACGGUACCCAAAGAAUAAGCACCGGCUAACUUCGUG
RNAcentral lists this ribosomal RNA (492 nucleotides) under uncultured bacterium. RNAcentral's name for it is "partial 16S ribosomal RNA". It matches the Rfam family "Bacterial small subunit ribosomal RNA", at positions 29 to 507 of the family's 1533-position model. The record is from RNAcentral.